GAUAUUGGUACUUAUAUAUCAUAUAUAUACAGUUGCAUGUGUUAUUUAUAUGGAUUUAGUACGUGUUGGGAGCAGUUUUUGUUGCUUAUAUGCAUUUCAUGACAUGUAAUAGGAAAAUUGAAAACUUAAAAGGCACGAAUGAACUUAUCUCAUCUCACCAUUUAUUAUAUUAGAUUAGAUAAUAGUUAUCAUACAUAAAGAGAUGGAUGACCUUUUAUAUAUACUCACUCCAUGAGUAAUACAUAGGUCAUACUAUUUAUUUAGGUGAGAAUUAAUAAUAUUUAUUAAC
This 289-nucleotide long non-coding RNA is filed under the name Solanum tuberosum (potato). RNAcentral's name for it is "long non-coding RNA (STUB_LNC000564)". The record is from RNAcentral. Lineage: Eukaryota; Viridiplantae; Streptophyta; Magnoliopsida; Solanales; Solanaceae.